AGAGUUUGAUCAUGGCUCAGGACGAACGCUGGCGGCGUGCUUAACACAUGCAAGUCUUACGAGAAAAGGGUAGCAAUAUCCUGAGUAAAGUGGCGCACGGGUGAGUAACACGUAGGCAAUUUGCCUUUAGGACGGGAACAACCCCGGGAAACCGGGGCUAAUACCCGAUGAUGCAGCGGCUCCGCAUGGAGACAGUUGUUAAUUCCCGCAAGGGGCCUAUUGAUGAGCCUGCGUCUGAUUAGCUAGUUGGUGAGGUAACGGCCCACCAAGGCAACGAUCAGUAGCUGGUCUGAGAGGAUGAUCAGCACACUGGAACUGAGACACGGUCCAGACUCCUACGGGAGGCAGCAGUGAGGAAUAUUGCGCAAUGGCCGAAAGGCUGACGCAGCGACGCCGCGUGAAGGAUGAAGUUCGUUAGAAUGUAAACUUCUUUUGUAGGGGAUGAAUGUUCCGUUUUACGGAAUUGACCGUACCCUGCGAAUAAGGAUCGGCCAACUACGUGCCAGCAGCCGCGGUAACACGUAGGAUCCGAGCGUUGUCCGGAAUUACUGGGUGUAAAGGGCGUGUAGGUGGGUCUCUAAGUCGGUGGUGAAAUCUUGCAGCUCAACUGUAAAAUUGCCAUUGAUACUGGAGGUCUUGAGUACGGCAGAGGGAAAUAGAAUUCAUGGUGUAGCGGUGAAAUGUGUAGAUAUCAUGAAGAAUACCGGUAGCGAAGGCGGUUUCCUGGUCCGUAACUGACACUGAGGCGCGAAAGCGUGGGGAGCAAACAGGAUUAGAUACCCUGGUAGUCCACGCCUUAAACGAUGAAUACUAGGUGCUGGGCCGUAAGGUUCAGUGCCAAAGCUAACGCAUUAAGUAUUCCACCUGGGGAGUACGAUCGCAAGGUUGAAACUCAAAGGAAUUGACGG
RNAcentral lists this ribosomal RNA (908 nucleotides) under uncultured bacterium. Its description in RNAcentral is "bacterial SSU rRNA". It matches the Rfam family "Bacterial small subunit ribosomal RNA", at positions 8 to 916 of the family's 1533-position model. The record is from RNAcentral.